GGCACUCCUUGCAGAACAAGUGACCAUCUGCACACUGGGUUAGCUCUUCAAAAGCAAACUCCCCAUAACAGCAGCGGCACUCAAUCAUCUGACCAUCCUUCUGAUAUUGUUCCUCAUUCAUCUGCAGAGCAAGGAGAAAGUCUGCAUGCUCUGCCAUCUCUUUAACUUUUUGCUCAUAGAAUUCCUGCUCCAGUAGCACUGGUGGGAGAAGCGAGAGCUUGUCAUAGGACCUCCAGUGCCGCCUCUUGUUCUCCAGGAAGAACAUCCGCU
RNAcentral lists this long non-coding RNA (270 nucleotides) under Gallus gallus (chicken). Lineage: Eukaryota; Metazoa; Chordata; Aves; Galliformes; Phasianidae. The record is from RNAcentral.